This 405-nucleotide ribosomal RNA is filed under the name Candidatus Woesearchaeota archaeon. RNAcentral's name for it is "partial 23S ribosomal RNA". It matches the Rfam family "Archaeal large subunit ribosomal RNA", at positions 2579 to 2987 of the family's 2987-position model. The record is from RNAcentral. Lineage: Archaea; Nanobdellati; Candidatus Woesearchaeota.
GGCGCGGCUUGCUACAUCGAUGUCGGCUCUUCCUAUCCUGGCAGUGCAUAAGCUGCCAAGGGUGAGGGGGUUCACCUAUCAAAAGGGAUCGUUAGCUGGGUUCACAACGCUGUGAGGCAGUUGGUAUAAUAUCUACUGGAGAUGCUUGAUGUCUGAGGGGAAGGACGCCAUAGUACGAGAGGAACUGGCGUUCGAGGCCACUAGUUUACCGGUUAUCUGACAAGGUAUCAUGCCGGGCAGCCACGCCUUGAGGGAUAAGUCCUGAAAGCAUCUAAGGAUGAAGCCCUCCUCGAAAAGAGACAUCUUAGAACAUAGCUAAAAGAGCUGUUUGAUGGGAUCGGCGUGUAAGCGCAAAGGUAACGAUGCGUUCAGCGUGCGAUUUCCAACGUUCAUUCUCAGUAUUUU